This 253-nucleotide ribosomal RNA is filed under the name uncultured bacterium. RNAcentral's name for it is "partial 16S ribosomal RNA". It matches the Rfam family "Bacterial small subunit ribosomal RNA", at positions 524 to 776 of the family's 1533-position model. The record is from RNAcentral.
UACGUAGGGUGCAAGCGUUGUCCGGAAUUAUUGGGCGUAAAGAGCUCGUAGGCGGUCUGUCACGUCGGCUGUGAAAACCCGAGGCUCAACCUCGGGCCUGCAGUCAAUACGGGCAAACUAGAGUACUGCAGGGGAGACUGGAAUUCCUGGUGUAGCGGUGAAAUGCGCAGAUAUCAGGAGGAAUACCGAUGGCGAAGGCAGGUCUCUGGGCUGACACUGACGCUCAUGCACGAAAGCGUGGGGAGCAAACAGG